This is a non-coding RNA of Pelobates cultripes (western spadefoot toad), 636 nucleotides long. Lineage: Eukaryota; Metazoa; Chordata; Amphibia; Anura; Pelobatidae. The record is from the annotation of a GenBank genome assembly.
GUUGCUUUUUUUGUUUACAUUACCGAUCUCCCAAGGCACAGAUCUCCAUAGCAAGGAUCUCUGACUAUCCUGAAAAACUAAUAUUUUAUCCCACAUGCUAUGUUGUAAGGUCAAAACGAGAUCUGUAGCAGGGGAGGCACAGAGACUUUGUUCCCCUCCAGGCAUUGGUCCAGGUAUGUGCUCCUUCCAUCAGGUAUUACUUAGCUCAGGUUUAUUUUACUGCAGAAAUUGUGUGAUAGGGAACACUACUCUGGUCACCCUCUCUCCCACAUUUUGCUAUAGUAAUUACUAUUGCUGACAAACAGUUCACUCAUUUUGUGCAACUUUAAUCUCCUCUUUUAUCAUUUCAUUCCAUUAAACAUGUUCUGCGGAAUCCACUGUAAUCUGUUACUAAUCCUAUCUUCCUACCAAGCUAAUAUUUACGGAGCUCUCAGAAGUCACAAGCACCAUUCUUGCUUUAAUACACAAGUGGAAGUGUACUGUCUGGGGGAUCUGGAGUGGCUUGCCUGUGCUUAGCUUUAUUUAUUUAUUUCUGGCAUUUAUAAAGCGCCAACAUAUUCCACAGCGCUGUACAAUUGGGAAAGACAACACAAUAGGAACAGACCGAUACAACAGGUAUAGGGCCCUGCCCGUGAG